RNAcentral lists this long non-coding RNA (635 nucleotides) under Felis catus (domestic cat). RNAcentral describes it as "lncRNA (ENSFCAG00000042144.2)". Lineage: Eukaryota; Metazoa; Chordata; Mammalia; Carnivora; Felidae. The record is from RNAcentral.
AUGUAUUCCACUUGGCUCUGUCUACGGGAUUGUAUCACAUGGCCUCCGUGUUGCCUCCUUAUUGAAAGACAUUUCCAGCCUGUGCAAGGUCAAGAGACACAGAGAAUUAAUCAUGAACCCAGUUGCCUAGAGGAGAAAAUAAUCUAUUUGUGGCAGUCUGAAAAAGCAAGAAGUUAUACGCCUCCAGGCUUCUUUGAAUUUUCCCAUCAGAGCCCCAGAGCUGACCCAACAAGCAAAAAUUUCUUCCUCAUUAGAAGACAGGGUAAGGGGGAAAGACUGGGGAGGGGGAGAUUGGUUUUUGUUUUGUUUUGUUUUAAGUUUAUUUUUACUUAUUUUGAGAGAUGGAGAGCAAGUGGAGGAGGGGCAGAGAGAGAGAUGGGGGGAGACAGAAUCCCAAGCAGGCUCCGUGCUAUCAGCGCAGAGCCCAAUGCAGGGCUCAGACUCAUGAAGUGUGAGAUCAUGACCUGUGUGAGAUCAUGACCUGAGCUGAAAUCAGAGUCAGAUGCUUAACCAACUGAGCCCCCAGGCGCCCCAAGAAAAAGGGUUUUGAAUAUAGUUUGUCGUAAUCCUCUCACACUGACAGUGCACAGAAUGCCCUCUGCACAUUUCCGUCAAUAAACCCCAUUCCAUCGCCA